GAUGAACGCUAGCUACAGGCUUAACACAUGCAAGUCGAGGGGUAACAAGAGAAAAGCUUGCUUUUCUUGUUGACGACCGGCGCACGGGUGAGUAACGCGUAUCCAACCUGCCUAUAACUAGGGAAUAACCUUGCGAAAGUAAGACUAAUACCCUAUAAUUUCCUCAGAUGUCAUCUGACGAGGAAUAAAGAUUUAUCGGUUGUGGAUGGGGAUGCGUCUGAUUAGCUUGUUGGCGGGGUAACGGCCCACCAAGGCAACGAUCAGUAGGGGUUCUGAGAGGAAGGUCCCCCACAUUGGAACUGAGACACGUCCAAACUCCUACGGGAGGCAGCAGUGAGGAAUAUUGGUCAAUGGGCGGAAGCCUGAACCAGCCAAGUAGCGUGCAGGAUAACGGCCCUAUGGGUUGUAAACUGCUUUUAUACAGGAAUAAAGUUAGCCACGUGUGGUUAUUUGUAGGUACUGUAUGAAUAAGGACCGGCUAAUUCCGUGCCAGCCGCCGCAGUAA
RNAcentral lists this ribosomal RNA (505 nucleotides) under uncultured bacterium. Its description in RNAcentral is "partial 16S ribosomal RNA". It matches the Rfam family "Bacterial small subunit ribosomal RNA", at positions 28 to 523 of the family's 1533-position model. The record is from RNAcentral.